This 289-nucleotide long non-coding RNA is filed under the name Mytilus galloprovincialis (Mediterranean mussel). Lineage: Eukaryota; Metazoa; Mollusca; Bivalvia; Mytilida; Mytilidae. The record is from RNAcentral.
GAGACGAUAUUAAGAAUUGAACGAUGGACAGUCAGUGCGUGAAUGCUUCUUACUACCUGAUUGGAAGAUAUUACGAGACGUGAAUAAUCAAAGUUUAUUAAUUGGUUAGGACAAUCCAAACCUAGUAAAUGUCCUUCAAUCCCGUAGAGUAUCGGAUUUGUCCUCUUUAUUUUAGCAAUUAGAUUUUGCCUGGUCAUUAAUCAUGCAUAUUCAUGAAAUUGGUAUACAGAUAACUUUUAUCUAUAAAUAGCCGAAUCUUCUGGAGUUUCGUAAACAACAACGUUAAACG